CCUCUCCUUUCUGGAGCUACCGAUGGCGCACAAUUUCGACGGGCGGCUCCCCGCUCCAAAUCCUCGCGUCCAACCCGCGGAUGCCGCUCCUUCUCUCCCUCGCUGACCGCCUUGACGCAGCCGCGUAACAGGCUCUACUUUCCCUUCCGAUGCGGCUUCUGGCACAGAGGAGGGCUUAGGCGGCCUCCUCUCCCUACCGAGGCGACACGGCCAUGGGAGGAGCCAAUACGGCCAAUGCUCCAUCCAGGAUGCAUCUACUCGGUUGUUUUUCCUCGGCGGUGGGAUCCGAGACGAGGGAACUCAGUAGAUGCAUCUCCUCAAGGCGGUGGACCUCAAGGUCCUCGGGGCUAGCGGGUGAGCAUCAGGUGGCGGCGGGGAACCCUAGACGGCGCGGCGCCCGACCGGGCGAGAUCGUCAUUCAUGGCGUUUCUGUUCCUCCACCUCCACUGGUCUUCCUCAUAUGCCCGUGCCGAGCCUGCUGCCCCGCCCUGAUCUCCCUGGUGUGGUGCUUGAUUGGCAGAGGGAAACGUUGGGAGCCCUCGCAGCGUCUUCCAUGCCGCUGAUGCGGUGGCUGGGCGGUGAGAGAGGUCGGACAGGCCUUCGCCAUGGCACAACGCAACGGCAAGCCGUGCCAGCCGUGUGUGGCCACGAGUGGGCGCCCAAGCCGGCGUAGGACCUGAGGGUGCCCACCGGCAGGGACCACCUCGCAUUGGUGGCGACCGAGGAGAGCCCGUCAAGAAGAACUGUGACUGCGCCUGCCGGUAAGUUCGCGUGGUCUGAUUUCGAUGGGAUUAACCCGCUGAUUUUAGGAUGCCACUCUUGCUGCUGCAUCGCUGGGAGGAGCGCCGCUGCUUCGAUGGCACGAGCGUUUGGUGGCCCCAUAACUAGGAGGUGCGCCAAUUGCUGCUCCAAAGGAUGAGCGUGCCAUCACUGCCAGAAGGAGGAGCUCCUGGUGGUCGUCUUCACGUCAACAAGGCUGUGUGUGCUCGCUUACAGAUCCAGUGGCUGGUUGCAGAAUGGAAGGACAUGAGUGGGAUCAUGAUAAACAUGGAGGAGAAGAUAUGAAGGGUAUUAGAGGUGGGACUGAGCCAUGAGAUUCUUUAACAACUGGCAGAGGCAAGCUGGAGCAUUUUUGUCCAUUCAUGUGGCUAAAGGCAGCACGCCUCACUGAAGACACCCCUUGACGCCAAGAAACAAAUGGGUCUUAAAAGGUGGAAAACUAGCAUGUAAUUCAGUUGUGACUGUGCUUCUUAGCCUUACUGUGCAAUUUAAUCUGCUCUGCUUUCUACAGAAAA
This is a non-coding RNA of Lolium perenne, 1295 nucleotides long. Lineage: Eukaryota; Viridiplantae; Streptophyta; Magnoliopsida; Poales; Poaceae. The record is from RefSeq and is a predicted model, not a curated record.